Molecule: long non-coding RNA, 2300 nt
Organism: Homo sapiens (human)
Lineage: Eukaryota; Metazoa; Chordata; Mammalia; Primates; Hominidae
Exons: 2
Source: RefSeq, a predicted model, not a curated record
UUGCAGAGCGGCUCCCGGAGCCGAGCGGUAUGCUGGAAGGUGCUCGAAUGGAGAGCGCCAGCGCCCCGGCGCUGAGCAGCAGCCUCAGUACGCAAGGCCCAAACAAUUGGUGAUAAUGAAGAAACUCUACUACCAGACGUUGCGGGAUGCCUCAAUGACCUAAUCCAGUAAAUCACAGCUCCAGCUGUCCAUGAGCUCUGUCUACCAUCUGAGGAAUUGUUUCUUUUUAAUACAAAGACUGGCACUCAUCAGAUAAUAAUUUCUGGGAUAGAAGCAAAGUAUUGGUAUUUCUUUAAGUCUCUUGAAGGUGAUUCUACUGAGCUGGGAUUAAGAACACACUGCCUUAAUCCUUUCAUCAUCAACAAAAUUAAAUACUGUUACUAUUAACAGAAGGAAAAAAAAGCUGUUUAAAGAGAGUGAGAAAGUGUUAUACCAGGAAUGGGAGCAUGAUUUUGUCAUUGAGACCAUGGCCACUGGAGCAAGACCACCUGGGUUCAACUUGUAGCUCUGCCACUUGCUAUCUAUGAACCUAGGGCACGUUAUUUGGUCUCUCUGUGCCUCAGUUUCCUCAUCUGUAAGAUGGAAAUCAUAAUAGUCACUACCUCACAUGGAGAUCAUGAGUACUAAUUGAGUUUAUAUUGUUAGAGUGCUCAAAAGAGUGUCUGGCAUGCCAAGUACUAUAUAAAUAUUUAUUAUUAAUUUUCUAACAACUCAAGUUUUUCACAGGUCCAGGCUUGUAGUUGAAAUUGAUACACAGUCUAUCCACCAAAAUAGCCUUUUCUAUAGUGUCCUGCCUCAGGGUGGGAGGCACAGAAACUAGAAAUGAAAAUUGGACAAUUAGUAGCAUUGGUGUUCUAUCAGAUUAGAAGAAACAUUCAUUCAUUCAUUCAUUUAUUUACUUGGAGACAGUCUCGCUCUGUGAUCCAGGCUGGAGUGCAGUGGUGCAAUCCCAGCUCACUGCAACCUCCACUUCCCUGGUUCAAGCGAUUCUCGUGCCUCAGCCCCCCGAGUAGCUGGAAUUACAGGCACACACCACCUUGCCUGGCUAAUUUUUGUAUUUUUAGUACAGACAGGGUUUCACCAGGUUGGCAAGGCUGGUCUCAAACUCCUGACCUCAAGUGGUCUGCCUACCUCGGCCUCCCAAUGUGCUGGGAUUACAGGCAUGAGCCACCACACCCAUCCAGAAGAAACAUUUAACCUAUUGAAUGCAUACUAUUAUAAAUACCAACAACUAGGACAUUAAAAUAGUAAUGGGAAAAUAAUUUUAGGAUUAAAAUAGAAUUCUUCAUUUGAUAAUACUCGAGGUGGAGCAAACAAAAUGGAACGGUGUCUAAGAAGAGGCAUCUUACAAGAUUACUUUUCUAGAGGCUAAAGGAAAUUAUCUUGGGCACCGGUUAUAGCCUGAGGGGCAAGUCUGUCUGUAUCUAAUAAAAGUGUCUUCUGAAAAAAGAAACAGAGAGGGAACUUUAAAGUGGAGCAUCUUGUUUUAUGAACAGCUGGAAGUGCCUACAACUCCUCCCCAAACUGAAAAGAUUACUUUUACACUAUGCAUUUUACAAUUUUACGUACACAUUUUUAAAACUCUUUUGGGAUGUGGAAGGUUUAUUUAUUCAGCCACCCAUAGCAAAUUCAAAUAGACUCCUGGCUAUCUAAAAAGCCACAGCACUCGGAAUUUCUCCCAUGGUGGUGGGGGAUGGGGAUGCUCCAUGGGGAAAUUUGUUCCCUCACCUGUAGGCUUCACUCCAAAACAAGGCAAUAGGACUGCAAUGACUUCUGUGACUCUAGCCAUGGUAAUGCCUUGCAGUGGGGGGGUUACAUUUUGCAUCUCUCUAAGCUUCCAUACUGGGCCAGCAAUAUCACUGAAUUCUUCCAAGAGAAAAUAGCUCCCCCAAAGGUGGCACCCACAGGAAUCUCUGCCAGGUUCCCAAGUCUACUGAUUCUUGCAUUCCACCCCUUCCCUCAAGGUUCAAUUCCUUUAUUUUAAAAUUAUAUCCUUUAGAAACUUUUUUUUUAGCAAAGACUUGUGAGAGGUCAAUUCUCCUUCUUUUUAAAAACAUCAGUCAUAAAGGAUACUUCUGUUUGAUGUAGACUUUUAGAUUAAAGUUCUGAGUAAAGAUGGUGGAUUGAACCACAAAUCCAAAUUUUGCUUUUCCAGAAAUCAUAUAAAACUACAAUGAAUAUAUAUUAUUUAGAAAUGCAUGAACCUUUAAGAAUAUGGGAAAUGGGAGAAGAGACAACAACUGACUUCUGGAAGCCGGAAAGAAGAUGGGUAAAUAAACUAACCCAACAUGUCAAAGAAA